This 492-nucleotide ribosomal RNA is filed under the name uncultured bacterium. Its description in RNAcentral is "partial 16S ribosomal RNA". It matches the Rfam family "Bacterial small subunit ribosomal RNA", at positions 29 to 507 of the family's 1533-position model. The record is from RNAcentral.
AGUGAACGCUGGCGGUAGGCCUAACACAUGCAAGUCGAACGGCAGCACAGUAAGAGCUUGCUCUUACGGGUGGCGAGUGGCGGACGGGUGAGGAAUACAUCGGAAUCUACUUUUUCGUGGGGGAUAACGUAGGGAAACUUACGCUAAUACCGCAUACGUCCUACGGGUGAAAGCAGGGGAUCUUCGGACCUUGCGCGAUUGAAUGAGCCGAUGUCGGAUUAGCUAGUUGGCGGGGUAAAGGCCCACCAAGGCGACGAUCCGUAGCUGGUCUGAGAGGAUGAUCAGCCACACUGGAACUGAGACACGGUCCAGACUCCUACGGGAGGCAGCAGUGGGGAAUAUUGGACAAUGGGCGAAAGCCUGAUCCAGCCAUACCGCGUGAGUGAAGAAGGCCUUCGGGUUGUAAAGCCCUGUUGUUAGGAAAGAAAAUCAGCAGGUGAAUACCCCGCUGUUCUGACGGUACCCAAAGAAUAAGCACCGGCUAACUUCGUG